CUGGCGGCGUGCCUAAUACAUGCAAGUCGAACGAGUUCUCGUUGAUGAUCGGUGCUUGCACCGAGAUUCAACAUGGAACGAGUGGCGGACGGGUGAGUAACACGUGGGUAACCUGCCCUUAAGUGGGGGAUAACAUUUGGAAACAGAUGCUAAUACCGCAUAGAUCCAAGAACCGCAUGGUUCUUGGCUGAAAGAUGGCGUAAGCUAUCGCUUUUGGAUGGACCCGCGGCGUAUUAGCUAGUUGGUGAGGUAAUGGCUCACCAAGGCGAUGAUACGUAGCCGAACUGAGAGGUUGAUCGGCCACAUUGGGACUGAGACACGGCCCAAACUCCUACGGGAGGCAGCAGUAGGGAAUCUUCCACAAUGGACGCAAGUCUGAUGGAGCAACGCCGCGUGAGUGAAGAAGGCUUUCGGGUCGUAAAACUCUGUUGUUGGAGAAGAAUGGUCGGCAGAGUAACUGUUGUCGGCGUGACGGUAUCCAACCAGAAAGCCACGGCUAACUACGUGCCAGCAGCCGCGGUAAUACGUAGGUGGCAAGCGUUAUCCGGAUUUAUUGGGCGUAAAGCGAGCGCAGGCGGUUUUUUAAGUCUGAUGUGAAAGCCCUCGGCUUAACCGAGGAAGCGCAUCGGAAACUGGGAAACUUGAGUGCAGAAGAGGACAGUGGAACUCCAUGUGUAGCGGUGAAAUGCGUAGAUAUAUGGAAGAACACCAGUGGCGAAGGCGGCUGUCUGGUCUGUAACUGACGCUGAGGCUCGAAAGCAUGGGUAGCGAACAGGAUUAGAUACCCUGGUAGUCCAUGCCGUAAACGAUGAAUGCUAGGUGUUGGAGGGUUUCCGCCCUUCAGUGCCGCAGCUAACGCAUUAAGCAUUCCGCCUGGGGAGUACGACCGCAAGGUUGAAACUCAAAGGAAUUGACGGGGGCCCGCACAAGCGGUGGAGCAUGUGGUUUAAUUCGAAGCAACGCGAAGAACCUUACCAGGUCUUGACAUCUUUUGAUCACCUGAGAGAUCAGGUUUCCCCUUCGGGGGCAAAAUGACAGGUGGUGCAUGGUUGUCGUCAGCUCGUGUCGUGAGAUGUUGGGUUAAGUCCCGCAACGAGCGCAACCCUUAUGACUAGUUGCCAGCAUUUAGUUGGGCACUCUAGUAAGACUGCCGGUGACAAACCGGAGGAAGGUGGGGAUGACGUCAAAUCAUCAUGCCCCUUAUGACCUGGGCUACACACGUGCUACAAUGGAUGGUACAACGAGUUGCGAGACCGCGAGGUCAAGCUAAUCUCUUAAAGCCAUUCUCAGUUCGGACUGUAGGCUGCAACUCGCCUACACGAAGUCGGAAUCGCUAGUAAUCGCGGAUCAGCACGCCGCGGUGAAUACGUUCCCGGGCCUUGUACACACCGCCCGUCACACCAUGAGAGUUUGUAACACCCGAAGCCGGUGGCGUAACCCUUUUAGGGAGCGAGCCGUCUAAGGUGGGACAAAUGAUU
This 1478-nucleotide ribosomal RNA is filed under the name Lacticaseibacillus casei. Its description in RNAcentral is "Lactobacillus casei 16S ribosomal RNA". It matches the Rfam family "Bacterial small subunit ribosomal RNA". Lineage: Bacteria; Bacillati; Bacillota; Bacilli; Lactobacillales; Lactobacillaceae. The record is from RNAcentral.